Long non-coding RNA from Acinonyx jubatus (cheetah), 4584 nucleotides. RefSeq lists it as uncharacterized. NCBI's taxonomy places the organism in Eukaryota, Metazoa, Chordata, Mammalia, Carnivora, Felidae. The record is from RefSeq and is a predicted model, not a curated record. The transcript is spliced from 5 exons.
UGCGCGCACCCGCCGCCGACGCCGCGGCGCUCUCCGGAGCCGGGCAGCGUGCGCGCUCCCGUCGCCGGCGCGCUGAAGCGUGGGAAGGUGCCGCGGUGACCUGGCUCUGCGGCCGGGGCGCGUAGAGUUCUCAGGUUUGGCCUCAGAUAAAUUCUUCCAAGGUCUAGACCAAGAGUGAGGAGCAGACAAGCCCAACCGAUGUGAACACCAAGCCUGGUUGUCCAGUGUCAUCUUCGCUGGGAAUUAAGAAACAACUAAAAUAUCCUCCAAAGGGUGGUGGUCAAACCGCGUGUGGCGCGUCUACACCCCGGAUGUGACUCAGCAGCGAUGAAAGAAGCCACUGACUCACAGGGCACCGGUGCUCUCGGGAUGAUGCUGGAUGGAAAGGCCACUCCCAGAGAUCACAUGCAUAAAGGAUGAUUCCGUCUGUUUGGCAAAAUGACAAAAUCGUGGAGCCAGACAGAGACUAGUGCUGGUCACAUGAAUCCACGUGGGAUAAGAUGACACAGAGCCAUGAGCACACAGCACACCAGUGUCAGCAGCCUCUUGGUUUGGCCAUUGUCCUGUAAUUAGCCAAGGCUCUAAGCAGCAGUGAGCCUGAAGGAAAAUCCAGAAACACGCAGGCCUUGUUCAGAGCUCUCCGUGUGCAGCCAGACCCCACAGCAGUCAGCUGUAACUCCAACAAGAUCUAAGCAGGUGAGUCCUCCAGCUACCAGAAAUGUCUGCAACAGCACGCAAUGAGUGUUUGCAAGGGAUGGAAAGAACCAGGCUGGGUGUCUGGUCUAGCGGGCUUUAUUAUUCAGGUGUGGUGAGGCCAACAGACCAGGAGAAAACCAUCAAGUGAAAAGAUAGUGUACUAGAUCCCAAGAGGAGGGGGCUCAACACGCCAUGGGGGCCCCAUGAGAAGCACUAAAGCAAAUCAAGAGGUGUGGGGUGGGUGGGGGUGAGAGCUUUUACUGUGGUUUCUGCAGGAAGGAGUGGGCAAGGCAGGGUGCAUAGGCUUAGGAUCGGCUGGUUUGAGUGACAUAGGUGGGCUCUGAGAGGUAGGAGCUGCCCCCAGUUGUUGGGACCUUGCUCUGGGGUGGUUAGGGUAGGUGGGUGGUGGCCCAGAGUGUGAGGGCCCAGUAGAGCAGGUGAUAGGGGUAUGGGCUCCACACUGGUUGGUUUGCAUUUGUGAAAUGCGCUCACAGGUGGGCAAGUGUUCACUGUCGAUGAGGAGUGGCUAACCCUGGGAGGGCAGUCCUCCAGGGUCACGAGGCCCCAGAUGUCAAAGUAUCAGAACACAGAGGAUAAAAGAUACGGUUAAUACAGAGAACUGAGGCCUCUGGCCAACAACCAGAAGAGGGUGGCAUCUUGGAAAUGGCCCCUCCAGCCACGGUUGAGCCUUCAGAUGAGAACCAUCUUGACUGCAAGCUCCUACGAGACCCUGAGGGAGAACCACCAGGCUAAGCCAUUCCCACAUUUCUGACUCGCAGACACCGAGAUACUAAAUGUUCAUCGUUUGAAGUCACUAGAUGUUGGGGUAAUUUGCCAGGCAGCAAUACGGCACUGGUACAGAUCUGGUCUGUGCAGCGUGAACAAGGCCAGGAUCAUGGGUCUGGCACCAGGCAGAGCUGUCAAGCUGGAUCCUAGCACUGCCAUUUACGGUACUCAGACCCUGAUACACAAGCUCUCCAGAGAAGAUUCCAGAGCCAAUUUCUAGUCAGUUCCAGAGGUUUCCAGAUGGAGGUGCUGGUGGGGCUGGAGGGCUGUGUGUCUGUGUCUGCUCUGCUACAAAGACAUUCACCUGGUUUGAAUUUUCUUAAAUGUUUAUUCUUGAGAGAGAGAGAGAGAGAACAAGCAGGGGAGGGGCAGAGAGAGAGGGAGACACAGAAUCUGAAGCAGGCUCUAGGCUCUGAGCUGUCAGCACAGAGCCUGACACGGGGCUCGAACUCACGAGCUGUGAGAUCAUGACCUGAGCCGAAGUCGGACGCUCAACUGACUGAGCCACCCAGGCGCCCCUGGUCUGAAGGCCAGCGACUGAGAAGGGGCCGUGGUGCCCACGGUGCCCUCUCAACCCAGGGGCUAAGUGAGAUGUAGCCACACCUCCAGGCCUGCGCAGGGCCCGGGGCCACCUUGGAGUCACGCGGGCACCCAAGGCCUGAAGCCUUUUCUUUCAUGGGAGUCAUUUUCAGAACUGCCCCACUCCCCCUCCACCCCCACUGGUCACAGCGGGGUCUGACAAAGGAGCAGUGGUGUGUUCGUGAACCCUCAUCUGUCACACUCAUGAAGCCACCCGAGGUCCCCGUGCCUGGCUGGGAGCAGGCACGCGGAGAGAGAGUGCGACGCGAUGGGUUGGACCUACUGUAGCUUUUUAAAGUUCUACAGAAAAGACCACGUGGACAAGUCACGGUCACGGUUCGAACCACGCACCAAGCGCCCACACGCGCUGAGCGCUCAGGUUGCCGCGGGCACUCCGUCACCCCCUCUCUGUCACUGUCUUCUCAGACACUCAAGAGUAGUUGGGGGGUUUCUUCCUGGCUCAGAAUCCAGGUGAGGAACAGACAGACAUCCCAUCGAGCUGCCGUGAAUCUUCAGUCUCAUUUUAUCACAAAGGCCGUUUUGAAAAGACGGAUCGGACAGCCGGCCAGAGUGCGGGAGGCCCUUCCAGAACCGCCGCGCGUGCCCGCCCGCGUGGUCUUUCCAGUCGCCUCACCUCCCCCACCCCCGUGCCGGACGCUGUUUGCUCACAAGUUGAGACGUGGCUGCGUGUGCCUCGUGUUGAUGUGCUUUUUCCCUUCAAGUAGUGUCAGGGUCUAGAAGAAAAACUGUACCUUUCUCCCGUGAUAGUCUGUGUCCAGCACGAGCAGGGAAAGAAGCCGACGGCCGAGUGAAGGAGUCCUUCCUCCGGCCGUGGAAGAAGCAGCGCCCGCCUCCGUUCCCCACCCCCCGGAGGCUUUGGGGACCGCGAAGAAAACGCUUUUCGUCGUUCAGCGGUGGUUCUGCGCUUGGGGGGAGAAGAUGUCCUAGAAGCCCCGUUCGAACCUGGCACCUCCCGGUUCCCGGGGCCUCGCCCAGAAAGGUGCCUCCGCCGCGACCGGCCUUGCUCCCACUGUUGGGCGGAUCCGGCGUGACUUCCCACCCGCUCCCUCUCUGCUCGAGUCAGACCUCCGCGGGGCCACCGGCAGGUGCGCCGUCCAUCCCGCGGUUCUCCCCCAUCGGCCCCUCGAGCCCCGUUUUGUGCCUGUCCUGGGGCGCGUGAGGUCGUCUGCCACAGAGCCUGGGGACUGUGGGUUCUCCUCAGCGGUGCCCUCUUUCAGGUGCACGGAGCCUCCCCCACCUCUGCAUCCCUGAAAAAUGUAGGAAAUGCUCUUGACCGGUUCACGAAGUAAGCCAGGUCCUGCUCGAGGGAGCGACACGUUCCCAGCCAGCAGACAACCGGAGCCGGAGCCGAGUGUCCUUCCCAACAAGGGAUUCUAUCAGAAGUUCCUCCUGCCCCGACAACCUCAUUUAAAAGCAAGACAAACCUUAGCUACAAGCUAUUGAAUGUCACAGCACGACGCCUUUCAAGUUUGAGGGAGCCUUUGUAUCCUUGUGUUACGAACAGAAGUUAAUGCAGACCACUCCGCCUUCCAAAAAAUCUCUUCUCUCCUUCAGGACUUUGCCUCCAGGCAGGAGCUGGGGGCUGGCUAGUGGACUAAACCUAACCUGGUUCUGUACUCGUGAGUUUUUCUAACAGUGGUAAAAUACCCACAACAUGAAAUUCACCAUUUUAACCAUUUUAUUUAUUUUAUUUUUUAAACACUGAUUUACUUAAGUGAUCUCUGCACCCGACGUGGGGCUCGAACUCAGGACCCCGAGAUCAAGGGUUGCUCGCCCUUCCGACUAAGCCAGCCAAGCGCCUUCCCCUUCAUUGUAACCAUUUUAAAGUGCGCAGUUCUGUGGCAUUAAGUACAUCCACACUGACGUGGAUCACAGCCAUCACUACCACACAUCUCCAGAACGUUCCAUCUUCCUAAACUGAAACUCUGUCCCCGUGAAACACUGACUCCCAUCCCCUCCCACCCCCCGGUGCUCCCUCUCUACUCCGCUGCUACAAAUCUGACAGCUCCAGGACCUCAUGCAAGUGGGAUCGUGCAAUAUUUGUCCUCUGUGACUGUUGUAUUUCACUCAGCAUAACGUCCUCAGGGUUCACCUACGGCGUCACAGGUAUCAAGAUUUUUUUUUUUUUUUUAGUUUUGAAAAUUUGUUUUAAUGUUUAUUUCUUAGAGAGAGAGAGACAGAGCAUGAGCACAGGAGGGGCAGAGGGAGAGGAAGACACAGAAUCGGAAGCAGGCUCCAGGCUCCAAGCUGUCAGCACAGAGCCGGACACAGGGCUCGAACUCCCAAACCUGGAGAUCAUGACCUGAGCCGAAGUCAGACACCCAACCGACUGGGCCACCCAGGCGCCCUCGGAUUUCCUUCGUUUUUAAGGCUGGUCAUUUUCCAGCGUAUGGAUGUAUCCCAUUUAGUUCAUCCACUCUUCUGUUGGUGGACGCUGGGUUGCUUCCCUUUUUAGCCGUUGUGCAUUUAGCUCCUCUGCCUUCCGGUUGUUGUACUCGAUGC